This 1172-nucleotide ribosomal RNA is filed under the name Salmonella enterica subsp. enterica serovar Saintpaul. RNAcentral describes it as "partial 23S ribosomal RNA". It matches the Rfam family "Bacterial large subunit ribosomal RNA", at positions 711 to 1791 of the family's 2925-position model. The record is from RNAcentral. Lineage: Bacteria; Pseudomonadati; Pseudomonadota; Gammaproteobacteria; Enterobacterales; Enterobacteriaceae.
AGACCCGAAACCCGGUGAUCUAGCCAUGGGCAGGUUGAAGGUUGGGUAACACUAACUGGAGGACCGAACCGACUAAUGUUGAAAAAUUAGCGGAUGACCUGUGGCUGGGGGUGAAAGGCCAAUCAAACCGGGAGAUAGCUGGUUCUCCCCGAAAGCUAUUUAGGUAGCGCCUCGUGAAUUCAUCUCCGGGGGUAGAGCACUGUUUCGGCUAGGGGGCCAUCCCGGCUUACCAACCCGAUGCAAACUGCGAAUACCGGAGAAUGUUAUCACGGGAGACACACGGCGGGUGCUAACGUCCGUCGUGAAGAGGGAAACAACCCAGACCGCCAGCUAAGGUCCCAAAGUCAUGGUUAAGUGGGAAACGAUGUGGGAAGGCCCAGACAGCCAGGAUGUUGGCUUAGAAGCAGCCAUCAUUUAAAGAAAGCGUAAUAGCUCACUGGUCGAGUCGGCCUGCGCGGAAGAUGUAACGGGGCUAAACCAUGCACCGAAGCUGCGGCAGCGAACGUAUCACCCAAGACAACUUUACGGAGUUGACGAUUGACGGAGCGAAGCGACGUCAAAGCGUUCAUUAAAGUCGAGUUGGCUUAGGGAUACGUUCGUUGGGUAGGGGAGCGUUCUGUAAGCCUGUGAAGGUGUGUCGUGAGGCAUGCUGGAGGUAUCAGAAGUGCGAAUGCUGACAUAAGUAACGAUAAAGCGGGUGAAAAGCCCGCUCGCCGGAAGACCAAGGGUUCCUGUCCAACGUUAAUCGGGGCAGGGUGAGUCGACCCCUAAGGCGAGGCCGAAAGGCGUAGUCGAUGGGAAACGGGUUAAUAUUCCCGUACUUGGUGUUACUGCGAAGGGGGGACGGAGAAGGCUAUGUUGGCCGGGCGACGGUUGUCCCGGUUUAAGCGUGUAGGCUGGUUUUCCAGGCAAAUCCGGAAAAUCAAGGCUGAGGCGUGACGACGAGGCACUACGGUGCUGAAGCAACAAAUGCCCUGCUUCCAGGAAAAGCCUCUAAGCAUCAGGUAACAUCAAAUCGUACCCCAAACCGACACAGGUGGUCAGGUAGAGAAUACCAAGGCGCUUGAGAGAACUCGGGUGAAGGAACUAGGCAAAAUGGUGCCGUAACUUCGGGAGAAGGCACGCUGAUAUGUAGGUGAAGUGAUUUACUCAUGGAGCUGAAAUCAGUCGAA